GCUGUGAUGGCCGAGUUGUUAAGGCGUUGGACUUGAAAUCCAAUGGGAUCUUCCCGUGCAGGUUUAACCCUGUUCGUAACG
RNAcentral lists this transfer RNA (81 nucleotides) under Dreissena polymorpha. It matches the Rfam family "tRNA". Rfam says of the family: Transfer RNA (tRNA) molecules are approximately 80 nucleotides in length. Their secondary structure includes four short double-helical elements and three loops (D, anti-codon, and T loops). Lineage: Eukaryota; Metazoa; Mollusca; Bivalvia; Myida; Dreissenidae. The record is from Rfam by way of RNAcentral.